RNAcentral lists this long non-coding RNA (937 nucleotides) under Medicago truncatula (barrel medic). RNAcentral describes it as "lncRNA gene3958". Lineage: Eukaryota; Viridiplantae; Streptophyta; Magnoliopsida; Fabales; Fabaceae. The record is from RNAcentral.
UUUGAAAUCUGGUUGCGAAGAAGCGUGAUGCACAAAACCUUUGGGAAGAAAAUGAAGAAGCCUUGAAAUCUGUUUUUCCUCACACAGCUCAUCUCUCUCUGCAAUUCUCUCUCACAGAGCUCUCAAUCUCACCUUUGUCCUGUGUUGUGUUCAUGACCGUCGGCGUUGCAUGUGUUCCGGUGGUGAGUUUGAUAUACCCAACGACGGUGGUGAUGGUCAGAUCCGAGGAUGAGACGAAAGGAUACGACGGUUGUGAGAUCUAACGGUGAGAUCUGACGUUGAUAUGGUGGACAAAGGUGGUGGGCGGCGGUGUUGACGGUGGUUGGUGAGAGAAAGGAGGAGGUAGGUGGUGGUGAAGAGGAGUGAAGAGAAAAAGGUAAGUGGAUGGAAGGAAGAAAUAACGUGUUUCAGAUAAAAGAGAGAAGGUGAACGCGAAUUGACAAAAUUACCCUUGAUAAAAUUAAUUAAAAAUGCCACAUAUUGGGAUGUAAAAGGGGGUUGGCCAGCUCAGUGUGUAUAUAUAUCAGUUCUCUUUUUUUAUUGUACUGAAAUCAAUGCAAACACUGUUACCCAAUCAAAUGCAGAUGUAGGCCUAAACAAUAUAGUUAGGCUUUAUAGUACUAUCUAAUUAGAGGAACUUUAGCUUGGCUAUUUUAAUUUUUUAACCCCUUGAUUACUGAUAUAUAUGUUGAUUGUGAUAUAACAAAAUCAUACGAUUUGGUCCCAUGUUCUCUUCCAUCUAUACGUCCCUGCAGGAAGGUUCCUACAUGUUUCCAUGCAAAUUCAUGUGCUAGUUAUAUAGUAAUUUCCUGUACUUUCGAAUCUCUUUCAUCACAUUAUCAAAGUUAGCAACUAGUGUCAUCUCAAUGAGUGCGUCAUGCCUAUGAGUUUUCUACAUGUAAUUAAUUGGACCCUCAAAAGGCAAUAGAGGGGUAAA